UUUUUCCUUAAAAUAUUUAUCUUCAUCAAACCUCUUUUUUGAUGCCUUGUAAAAUUCCUGGAGGUCUCCAAUUGCUUGCUCACCAGCAUCCUCCCAAUUUGGAAACUUUUCAAAUAAAUAUUCAAUCAACAUCCCAAACUGAGUACCCCAGUCACCAACAUGAUUCCUUCGAAGAACCUCAACUUCCGAAAACUCUAGCAUGCG
RNAcentral lists this unclassified non-coding RNA (204 nucleotides) under Hevea brasiliensis (rubber tree). Lineage: Eukaryota; Viridiplantae; Streptophyta; Magnoliopsida; Malpighiales; Euphorbiaceae. The record is from RNAcentral.